UACAGAGGUCUCAAGCGUUGUUCGGAUUCAUUGGGCGUAAAGGGUGCGUAGGCGGCGCGGUAAGUCGGGUGUGAAAUCUCGGGGCUUAACUCCGAAACUGCAUUCGAUACUGCCGUGCUUGAGGACUGGAGAGGAGACUGGAAUUUACGGUGUAGCGGUGAAAUGCGUAGAUAUCGUAAGGAAGACCGUGGCGAAGGCGGGUCUCUGGACAGUUCCUACGCUGAGGCACGAAGGCCAGGGGGAGCAAACGGG
RNAcentral lists this ribosomal RNA (252 nucleotides) under uncultured bacterium. RNAcentral's name for it is "partial 16S ribosomal RNA". It matches the Rfam family "Bacterial small subunit ribosomal RNA", at positions 524 to 776 of the family's 1533-position model. The record is from RNAcentral.